Columba livia (rock pigeon) is the source of this 4510-nucleotide long non-coding RNA. RefSeq lists it as uncharacterized. Lineage: Eukaryota; Metazoa; Chordata; Aves; Columbiformes; Columbidae. The transcript is spliced from 2 exons. The record is from RefSeq and is a predicted model, not a curated record.
UCCCCACUCCGACACUGAGAGGGAGGAGGAGGAGGAAGGCUCUGGGGGCUGAAACACUGUACAGCAUCACAGAGCACUUCGGAGAGGGUGACUCCAGCCUUAACUCUUUCCUUCACGUGUCCCAGCUCCCUGGAACUCUCCAGCCUUGGCGUUCUCUUUCCUCCCGUUAAAAGGCUACUAUCUGGGACACAGACUCAGACCUGCUGUUCUUGAAAGUGGGUUUCAUCUCUUAUCAGCUCUUCUAGUCAACGAAACAAUGGACUAUGCAGAAAGGAGGAAGAGUACAUUUGAGUGAUCCUGCAUUCUUGUGAAAAGCUUCCCAAGAAAACAACACAAGUUCUGUCAUUUUAAUUCUAAAAUGUAUGGCCUAUAAAUGCCCACAAUGUCUUGUUAAAAGCAGCCAGAAUACUGCAUAUUUUGAACCAUAGAAUGUAUGAUUCAUUUGAAAAAACAUAUUUUUCCUGUUGCUGCUACUAGUGGGCCUCUCAUAACCUCAUCUGUGUAUUUUUGCCUUUCUUGUCCUUCGCCACAAAAGAUAGGAUUCCCGUUGAUUCAGUUUUUCCAUCCCAUAGAAUGCUACAGCAUUAGCUGUGGGUUUGUCUGUUGAAAAAGCCACAAGUGUCCUGCCCCUGAUUUGUUGAGCAUGUUGCAUGGGUAGCAGUGACUCUGCAGCCCUGAUGCCAGGGAAGGUUUUUGGAGUUUAGCAAGCCUGGCAGGCAGCUGUGCAUAGAAAAGGAAACCAAAAAGAAUGAAGAUCUAAGAUCACACUAGGAAAGCCACAGGGAGAGCAGAGGGCAGGCUUCAAAGCUAGGUGCCAGCUUUUAGGCUCAGUUAGGAAAAGUGGACUGAAAGAGCAUGGUCUUGCCUAGAAUAGAACCAUGGAAUCAUAGAAUAGUUUGGGUUGGAAGGGACCUUCAAAGGUCAUCUAGUCCAACACCCCUGCACUGAGCAGGGACAUCUUCAAUUAGAUCAGGUUGCUCAGAGUCUACCACAGCUUAAGGCAAUGGCUGAUGGAUGGGCAGCUGAUGGCAGGCUGAAGGACACAAACUGCAACUCACCACUAAACCUUCUCUUCUCAGUCCUUCUACCUUGGCCGCAGCUGGGAAGGUGUCCUGGUUUAGCAAAACCAGGACAGAAGGUUUUCCUCUUCUGCUUUCAAAAGUAGCUCUAAAUGCGCUACUGUUCUAACUCUCCACACAUCACUGUUUCUGAAUAUGUCAGCAGCUCUCCCUUUCUUCCAUGGGAUAUAACCGCCUCUCCCUAUCUCUCUCUCCCUGUCUCCUGCCUGGAAGAUUGGAAUUUAAACUUGCUUCUGAAAGACUGCAUUGAUGUUUCUAUCUUUGUGAUAUUUAAAACUAGCAUCCACUGUCUUAAUUUUAGAUCAGAAAUGUAAGCAGCUACUUUAUUUGAGAAGGUAAACAGCCUUAUUAGGGUGUGUUUGUACAUGACCAGUCAGUGAAUUGCUUUUCUUGCCUAUUUCCGUUCCACUCCUAAAAUGGCCACAUCUUAAAUCACUCCCCUCUGAGAUGGCAAUGACAGUCCCAGAUGUGAGAAUCCUGACCCUGCAAGUCCGGAGCUUGAGUCCUAGCUGUUAAUAAAUUAGAAUUUCUGAUGAGGAAGAGAAGAAGGAGCAUGUUGGAGAGCUGGCCUAAACAAUUGACUUCAGAGAGAGCUUGUGUUUGUUGGGACUGGGUUUGCAAACUGCAGAAGUGCCUUGGGUAUGGUUGCCUCAUUCUCUUACUGUACUGGAAACAUACUAUCAAAGAUGUUUGAUGGAUAAAACUGGGAAUCUAUUACUUUUUGGAAAGCCAGGCCCCUUAGGAUGGCACCUCUAAUCAGGUAGCCAAAGUUUCUGGCAAUUAAUUACGUUCUUCCUUAUGUAAAACUUAGCCUUGCUUUUUUAGUCAAAUACAGACUCUCAAAAAACAUAUUGAGGACAUAGGAUCAUAUUACGGGUAGAAGUGCCCAUUCUGAUUCACGCCUUGGAGUCUGCAUUGAUGCUUAUGGAUAUUACAUAGAUCAAGAGAAGGAUUAGUCAGUGGUGAGGACAAGGGCUGUGUACUGCGCUAUGUGAAUUCCAGAUGUAAGCAGAGACUCUGUGCCUACAGCCAUUCUCUGGAGCUCAGACAUCCCAGGCCUCCUCCUACACAGCGGGCAUGGCAUCCUGCAUUGCUGGUGUCCUUCCUAUAGCAACAGCCUGUGAUGUUUUCCUUGGUUUCUGAAGAUUGUGCAGACAGCUGUGUGAGGGAACACUUCCCCCAGGGGAACACCCUGAUAUAUGUAUGAUACUGGGAUGGGUGCUGGCAAUGACUGUGGAGCUUUGUGAUCUCAGAUGAUUUGAGAGAGCAGAGAAUUUUGUUUUGUCCCCAAAACCAGAACAGGAAGAAGGAAUUUGGAGGUAUGUUAUGUUAAAAUAUGCAGCCUUUGUGGCCACAGAUAGCUCUUCAGACAUGGUGAUUCUCUAAUUAAAGGCAGGGUGGUUUGAGGAAUGUGUGAUUCCAGCUUGUUUAAAAGACUGUGAGAGAGCAAAGCUAACCAUAAAAAAUGCCCAAAAAUAUCAACAUGAGCAGAACUGUUCAGGAGAGGGAGAAAACAUGUAGUAGCUACCUGUGAGCAGCCACUGCACAGGUUCAAGCAGAAGGAAGUGGGUAUUAGAGAAGUAAAUGCCUGCAAGGGAUAGCCCUGCACCUCUUGAAACUGUCAGAGUUCAAUAGCAGCCUGCAAGCAGCGAGUAAAGUGAGGACCUUCAUUGGUUUAACACUGAAUCUGUGGCAUAAUCCACUACCGAUGACAGAAGAUAACAGCUACUUGAUUUACCAGAAGCAAAAAAGUGAAACCCCUCUGUGGUGUUUUCACUGGGUUGAAACUGCCUUCAUCAGCUAUUUGUAGAUGCCACUGAGAGCAAACACCAACAGACAUCAUCUAUCUCCUGUGCUCUUCCUGUGCAAGCCAAACCAGGUGCUAGAGGGAUUGCCAAGCAUUCAUAAGACUUAGUGUUUAUAAAAAGAUUGCAAGAGGCAAACGGAAGGGCUACAGAAUGCCAGUAGCUCAUCAUCCAAGAAGAUUCAUUGUCUCCUCUUUGGAGAAAUAAUGUGAGAACUUCUCUUUGGAGGAGCCACUGAAGAUACAUAAUCACAGCCCAAAUCUCCUAGUUUAGAACAGUAUCAAUUAACAUCCUGAGUGAUGCAAGUGAGAAUGAGAAAGAAGAGGGUAGCUUCUCACUUGAUUUGUGUGCCGUUAAGUUGAACUGGCUAACUGAAAUAACUCAGACAUAUCUGAGAACCUCUUUUAUUUUACUUGUUCUUUUUCAGGACAAGGGUGAGUUGUGGGGGAAAUGGAACCAUCUGUUAAAUCAUGGCAUCUGAUAGAAAAUCCAGCCUUUCUCUUGGUUUAAUAUCUGGGUAAAAAGUUUAUUUAUAUGAGAUACUGGAUUCCUUUGUGAACUACUUCAGUCAGCCAAGCCAAGCUGGUCUUCCAGUACCAUGAAUUUAUGUCCUUACUGUGGUUUCUUGCCAGUAUCCUCUCCAUUGACAUUGUAUUUACAUUAGCACUGUAAAACAUCACUUCAUUCAAGAGUCUGAAGUGAAGCCCUCACUCACUCAUGCACUUAGCUCUUGAUUGUUGCCACCUGGUGAGAAGUUAGCUGAUUGCCUUUCCCAGAUGGGUCCGGCCAUUCUGAAUAUAAUGAGAAUGAAAGCCACUGAUGCAUUGGGGCUCCUCAGGUUCCAGUGUUGAUUUUAGUCGUCUGUAGCUGGUAUAAAUGCAAAAUAUUGCACAGUCAUUUCUUCAACUAAGAUUAAAAUACAAAUCCUUUAUUUAAAAGAGAAAUGCCUUCAGCAGGCAGUGCCUUGGUCAUCAGAUUUUGACAACCUUGAGUCUAUAUACUGGUAAGUGAUCUGGAUGAUGGUUCACUGCAUUUAAGUCUGUUUUUUCUUCUGUAAAUUUCAAAGCUCUUUACAAAGUAUAAGUGUUUUCAUUUUAUGGAAGGCAGAAAUGGAGAGGGAAAAGAGGAACACCGUAUUGUCUAACCUGGUGUAGAUCCUCAUGUGAAGCUUAUCUAGUUUGCUGAAUCAAAGGGAUGGUCCCAAGGUCUCGCUUUGACAGAACUAUGACAACUUCUAUAGGAAUGAAGUACAAAGGAGGUUUGACUUUCAGUGUGUUCUGAUGUUCAGGCUGUCCUGCCUCUGAAUAAACAGUUCAGAAUGGAGUCAAACAUAUGUUUUUCUAUAUGUUCUAAAAGGGCUUGCUGAAGGGCAAGCUUUGCUCUGUUCAUUUCAAGAGAAGGUUUGAAUAAGAAUUUUUUCAUGUGUGAGUUCCACUGAGUAUGUUUAAAUUACUGUUAUUGCCCUGUGUCAUACUGUAUUCCCAAAAGGCACAGGGACUUUGGUAGCUCACAAGAACCAGAAAGCAAAACCAUCUGAUCUUAUGAACAAAAAUUGGAUGAACAAUAACAGCUGAUGAACAGAAUAUGUGCUUUAACUUGUAUUUAAGAAUAAAGUACAUCAACCUA